UACGGAGGGUGCAAGCGUUAUCCGGAUUCACUGGGGUUAAAGGGUGCGUAGGCGGGUUGUUAAGUCAGUGGUGAAAGCUCCGAGCCUAACUCGGAAACUGCCAUUGAUACUGACGAUCUUGAGUACAUUUGAGGUGGGCGGAAUGUGUCAUGUAGCGGUGAAAUGCUUAGAUAUGACACAGAACACCGAUUGCGAAGGCAGCUCACUAAACUGUAACUGACGCUGAGGCACGAAAGCGUGGGGAGCAAACAGG
Molecule: ribosomal RNA, 253 nt
Filed under: uncultured bacterium
Lineage: Bacteria
Description: partial 16S ribosomal RNA
Rfam family: Bacterial small subunit ribosomal RNA
Source: RNAcentral